AAAGGAAGAAAAAAUAUUGUGGACCCCUAUGUUGCAAAUGUGCCUCAGUCCUCAUCUGAGAGGCUCUCUGGGGACACUGUCUUGCUGUCUCUGGUUUCCAUCUUGACCUGGCCCAUUGGCUUUAGCUGGAUUGAUCAUCUUGAGGCUCUUCAGUGAUGCUUACAUCUCUGAGCAAAGACUUGCUAAUCUAUCACGUCUUGUAAGAAUCCCCUCCCUCACAUGCUAAGGACUUCCAUUUGGACGCCUGACUCCCCCAUCACAGAGAGCUUGUGCCAGGUGCUCAGGAACCCCAGUGCCUGCUAUAUUUUCCUUCAGGGCAAUUGUCAUUACCUUGCAUUAAUUAUGUACUUAUUAUGUAUUUAUUUACAUUAAUUUUGUCCAUAUACCCUCCAGGUAGCAAACUCUACAAGGGGGGGGGGUGUGCUGCACCUGUGGCAUAUGGAAGUUCCCAGGCUAGGGGUAGAGUUGGAGCUGCAGCUGCUGUCCUUCACUAUAGCCACAGCAAUGCUGGAUCCAAGCUGCAUCGGCAACCUACACUGCAGCUCAUGGCAAUGCCAGAUCCUUAACCCACUGAGCAAGGCCAGGGAUCGAAACUGACACUAUGUUGGUUCUUAACCCAAUGAGCCACAAUGGGACUCCAAGAAGAGAUUUUUAUUACCUUUUUUCCCUAACAUGGAGAAGAUGUCUUAGGUGAACCUGUGGUGAGUUUGAGAACUUCUCAGGUUCUCUGUCUCUCAAUAUCAAAUUCCCAUCUUUUUCCAUUUCCCAAGUUUAGCAUUUCCCUGAUUCCUCUCCCGGUUCUUUUGGAGAAGUAAGCAGACCUGCUUUACACCUCUUCUUGAGGAAAAAAAAAUCAUAGCUCUUCACAGAAACCAUGAAAUUAGAUGAUGAACUCAGUGAAUACAAAGCAAACAGGCAGAGCUUGAGCCCACGAAGAAGACUUGAGUAAAAAGUAACAUUGCCCUGAAUUCAGAUGCCAGAAAACCUUGUAGUUGACUGUGUCCGCUGUGUUUUCCUGGGGCUAGCAGCCUGGGUCUGAUGGAUUAUGCCCAGUUGUAUUAAAAGUAUUGGCUUAGGGCUGAAUGAUCAUGAACAAGGUGGCUCUUUCUCCCAGAGCCCUCAGUCGACUUUCCAUCUGAGCAAACAUGAAGUCUCUUGGCUCUGGACCUUGUUUGCCUAUGGUGCAGAACAUGCUCUGUGCCUGGAGAUUGUGCUUUGGAAUUCUGAUGGGAUAUAUUUUGCCUUUGCCCCCUAUUCUCUUUCCCAUCUGGCUCCAGUUGCUUACAGAUGCUCUUAGAUUCAAUCACAACCUUGGUCAUUUUCUUGGACUUUCCUGCACACACCAUUAUUGCCAUGAGCAGGGGUUAACCACUCACUUGGCAAGCCUGAGAAAUCUAAAAACAGUUUUGGUAGGAUUCGGUCGUUUUGGUUUCUUGACCAGCUUUGGAAUAAUCACCCAAAGGGCUCUAGAAAAAGUGGCAUCACCAUGACUACUCUCAAUGGCCCAUUCUUGGCCUGGCUGGAGACCUAUAUCCUAGGCAGACUUCAUUCAGAACUUGGGGGUGAGGGUGGUUAAUCACUGAUGCUGGUGCAGGGGCUCUGCCAUAAGUGCUCCUAUCAUGGACAUUUGGGAAAAUGUCACAUCAAAAAGGACAAGAUUGCCAAGAGGAGGUCCUUUACCUUUUGUAGGACUGGUACUCCAUCUCUGAGAACCUUUAGCCCUUGUCUUGUCAGCAUCCUAAGCCUAUUUUCUCAUAACCUCCUUCAUAGCCACCUUUACCCAGCAUCCUGGUUCCCCUUUGGACUGCCUAGCUCCCUGUGUGAAACGAAUCCAUUGGUUAACAGAGUUGAUUAUCACAAUUUCCACCAUUCAGACUGAAUCUUGGGUGUCUGGGUAUUCUGCCUUCCUUGGUAGGUCCUUUGAUGUGUCUCUGUUGCCAAGUUCACUUCAAUUUGAAGCUUCAGCAUCCAGGGAACUCGGACAUUUAAAUGGAUUUACUCAGUGUCCAGCAGGAAAAAAAAAUCAAACAAACAAACAAAAAAACCUAGCUACAUGUUGUAUGUGAUUUCUCCUGGCUGAGUUUGGGUCAUUUGGGACCAGUGUUAAAAUACAAACAAGUAAGAGUUAACCCUUGAACAAUAUGUGGGUUAGGGAUGCACAUCCUCUGUGCAAUUGAAAAUCUGCACAUAACUUAUAGUCAGUCCUCAAUAUCUGUGGUUCCUUUGUCUCCUUGGUCCCUUCAUAUUCCUGAUUCACAUAUGAAGAUUAAACUGACAUCAAACUGUGCAGUACUGGAGCAUUUAUUCACAGGAAAAAAACAUCCAUGUGUGAGUUCUCUUGUGGUACAAUGAGUUAAGGAUCUGGUAUUGUCACUGCAGCAGCUUGGGUUGCUUCUGUGU
Molecule: long non-coding RNA, 2400 nt
Filed under: Sus scrofa (pig)
Lineage: Eukaryota; Metazoa; Chordata; Mammalia; Artiodactyla; Suidae
Description: lncRNA (ENSSSCG00000061176.1)
Source: RNAcentral